Molecule: long non-coding RNA, 1827 nt
Filed under: Drosophila guanche
Lineage: Eukaryota; Metazoa; Arthropoda; Insecta; Diptera; Drosophilidae
Source: RNAcentral
CUAAGGUGCAGAUGUAGUACUGAGUUCCGGGUAUAAAAGUUGUGACGCGUAAGAAGCGUCUCAAACGUACCUUCUCGUUUAUUGUAUAUUCAAUAUCAAUUAAAAUUUCAAUUUCAAAAUAAAAAAAAAAAAAAUUUUUGGGAAAAGUUUAGAAGAACAAAUUUGUGAAAAUAUGAAAAUAGUAUGUGUUAGGGCAUAUGGCUGAUUUACAUUUCUAUUUCUCUACAUAAAUACAAUAUAAGCCCUAUGUUUUUAGUAAAAGCCUUACAGGUAUUAGUAUUUUACAAGCAGCGUUUGCACCCAUCUACUUGUGGGCAGAAGUUUUGUACAUAAAUUAUUGGCAAUAUAGGCUGCAUUCAUGCCAAUGCCUAAGCAUGAAUGCAGCCUAUAUUGCGUUACUUUGCAUCCAAAGAUUCCUGUUUAGGUCCUCCAGUUGGUUUUUUAAUUUGUCCUGGUCUUCGCUGUUUGUAGCUGCCCGUAGCAGGCCUUGGACCAACCUACGUUGCCGGAGCAGUUUUAUGCGUUUUCCUCCCCGCUUCUUCGUUUUCUUGGGCUGUUGCUGCUGCUGGCGUGCCCGGUACUCAGCUAUUGUGAGUGGGCGCGGUGUCCAUCGAAUGGAAAAGCCUCUAAAGCCUCCUUUAGACUCGGCUUGUCCCUUUGCUCGAUAGGAGCAGCGUUAAGGAGACCUGUCUCCAGCUUGUUUCCAACGAUGGCGUAAGGUCGUCAGCCCUCUCACGCUUAUAUUUGUACGCUGCAGUUGUCCUAUGGGUCUAAGGGCUCAGGCGGUGCAGGUGUCGGUCAUCGCACAGGUCAUCGAAGUACGCUCUGUGUAGUGUUGUCGGUGCCUUUUCAGGUCUUUAUAUUUUUUUUUUUUAUGUUUUAUGUUACCGCUCUACCCUUGGGUAGAGGGGGAUUAUUUGGCCGCCCGCCUUUACAAGGUGGAAAUCGCCAUGUCGAGAUAUGUAACUUGUUACAGUUUUACUCCAAUUUUGUCGAUGAACUCGAUUAAAGUUUGGUACGAGCGAAUUAGUCUUUUUCAAAGAAUUUAUAGAUAUUAUUAUAUUUCCUUAGCGAUGGGUAGUUUAGUCUUGUUGCGUUGUACUUGGUACAAUUAAAAAUUAUAUGCGAUGCGUCAUCGAUAGUAUCGCAAGUAUCACAAAUGUUACUUGCGACUACGUGCAUUUUGGCAAGUGUGUGCCUAUCAAAUGCACUGCCGAUAAGCAGUCUAUUGAUCUUUUUAGCGUCAAUGGCUUUUACCUUAUUUCUAUUUAGGAACCAUGGUUUUGUUGAGGUAGAGGGAAAAAGUGAGCAGUAUCCUCUGCGUUUAACGCUGGCAUACUCUCUCUCCCAUUCUUCUUUCAGUAUUCGGUGUAUCUCACAUAUUGCAUCUUUAAGAUUCCAUUUAACGACUGUAUAUUUUCCCAGUCUGUGUGCUUCUUUGGCUGCUGAGUCUACUGCCGUGUUCUGAGGGAUGUUGGCGUGGCCGGGUAUAAAAUGGAUUUCUACCUUCCUUAGGUAUUGGGCUUGACGGAUCUUCUCCCUGAUUUUAUAAGCGAUAGAAUUAUCCUGAAUGCUCCUUGCCAGUAUUAGAGCCCCGUUUCUGCUGUCCGUUAGGAUGGCGAAACGAGAAAACCCGCGGGAAAUAGCAUGGUCCAAGGCCUUUUCAAUUGCAAUCAACUCGGCGGACAGAGAUGUAAAAUGAUGAUGAUGAUGCGUGUAAAAGCUGUCUAUGAAACCUGAGCUGUCGUGUAGGAAAGCUGCGCUAGAGUGUCUGUUACCUACUGAUCCAUCAGUGUAGUAGGUCUCGAAGCCUCCCCUUGUCAGUAA